Molecule: ribosomal RNA, 252 nt
Filed under: uncultured bacterium
Lineage: Bacteria
Description: partial 16S ribosomal RNA
Rfam family: Bacterial small subunit ribosomal RNA
Source: RNAcentral
UACGUAGGUGGCAAGCGUUGCUCGGAAUCACUGGGCGUAAAGGGUGCGUAGGCGGGUCUUAAGUCAGAGGUGAAAUCCUGGAGCUCAACUCCAGAACUGCCUUUGAUACUGAAGAUCUUGAGUUCGGGAGAGGUGAGUGGAACUGCGAGUGUAGAGGUGAAAUUCGUAGAUAUUCGCAAGAACACCAGUGGCGAAGGCGGCUCACUGGCCCGAUACUGACGCUGAGGCACGAAAGCGUGGGGAGCAAACAGG